Molecule: transfer RNA, 124 nt
Filed under: Zymoseptoria tritici IPO323
Lineage: Eukaryota; Fungi; Ascomycota; Dothideomycetes; Mycosphaerellales; Mycosphaerellaceae
Also listed under: 1 other name
Description: Zymoseptoria tritici tRNA-Leu for anticodon CAG
Rfam family: tRNA
About the family: Transfer RNA (tRNA) molecules are approximately 80 nucleotides in length. Their secondary structure includes four short double-helical elements and three loops (D, anti-codon, and T loops).
Source: Rfam by way of RNAcentral
GGUCAGAUGGCCGAGUGGUUAUGGCGCUAGUUUCAGGCAGUUGAAACUGUGCUGAUAAAAAAAGCAGUUUCCCCAACACUUACUAGUGGGGCAACCUUCGUGGGUUCGAGUCCCACUCUGAUCA